CAGUCGCCGCGGGAAUACGAAGGGUGCAAGCGUUAAUCGGAAUUACUGGGCGUAAAGCGUGCGUAGGCGGUGAGUUAAGUCUGCUGUGAAAUCCCCGGGCUCAACCUGGGAAUGGCAGUGGAUACUGGCUCGCUAGAGUGUGUCAGAGGAUGGUGGAAUUCCCGGUGCAGCGGUGAAAUGCGUAGAGGUCGGGAGGAACAUCAGUGGCGAAGGCGGCCAUCUGGGACAACACUGACGCUGAGGCACGAAAGCGUGGGGAGCAAACAGGAUUAGAUACCCCCGUAGUCCCUGUCUCUUAUAC
RNAcentral lists this ribosomal RNA (301 nucleotides) under uncultured bacterium. RNAcentral describes it as "partial 16S ribosomal RNA". It matches the Rfam family "Bacterial small subunit ribosomal RNA", at positions 509 to 807 of the family's 1533-position model. The record is from RNAcentral.